AUGAAGCUUGAGCAGCAUCUGGGCGCGGAGCCUGUGGUGGCCUUCAUUGCUGCCAUCACCGCCAUUGCUGCUGCGGGUGUUGGCGUUGGAGGCAGGCGCUGGCGGCCUGCAGUUGGGCGGCGGCCCUGGGCCCUGGGCUCCCUAUGCGCACUGGUCAAACAGGGCAAGCAGCGGAGAGCUCAGCUUCAGCCUGUGCACCAGUCCCAGUGGAUGAAUCCAGUGGUGCAGCCAGUGGUACCAGGAGCAGCACUGAGGACCAGUGAACUGGGGGACAGACAGAUGGACAGAUAUGGAUUGAUAGGAAUGCUGUGCCAUUUAUAUAAACAUAAAAGUCCUGAUGAAGACAUUUCCCCCAAACCUACAAUUUUCUUUCCUUCAAUUGCUGAAAUAAAACUCUGUAAGGCUGAAACAUAUCUUUGUCUUCUUGAGGAUUUUUUCCCUGAUGUUUUCAAGAUAGAUUGGAAAGAAGAGGAUGACAAAACAAUUCUAAAAUCACAGCAGGGAGACACCAUGAAGACUAAUGACACAUACAUGAAAUUCAGCUGGCUGACCGUGACUAGAGCAUAAUGGAUCAAGACACAAAUGUAUCAUCAACCCCGAGCAGGAUAAGGGAAAUGUUGAUCAAGAGAUACUUUUUCCUUCAAUAAACAAAGAUUUGCUGCCAGCACUGGAAUACAAAGUAGACUCCCAGGGACAUUCAAGGACAAAGCAAAACAAAGAGGUGUUAACUGUGAGCCCUUUGAGUUCAGCAUUCUCACUUAUUCCAAGGGCUGUGAAGCUUACUGCUAUUCACUCCACAAAAGCUUCUCUGAAUGAUGAAAUUGACACCCUGCAGGUGCAGCUCAUGAACACAUCUGCCUACUACACCUACCUCCUCCUCUUCCUAAAGAGCCUGGUCUACUCCAUCAUUAUCGUCUCUCUGCUUGGGAGACCAUCACUCUAUAGCAAUGGGAAGAGUUCCUAA
Molecule: non-coding RNA, 964 nt
Organism: Neogale vison (American mink)
Lineage: Eukaryota; Metazoa; Chordata; Mammalia; Carnivora; Mustelidae
Source: the annotation of a RefSeq genome assembly